ACUAUUUUGGCAGAUAAGUGUAUUAGAUUUAGAAUCUAAAAAUGUAAAAUCGUUUUUUACAGGUAGUA
This 68-nucleotide transfer RNA is filed under the name Caenis robusta. RNAcentral's name for it is "tRNA-Leu". It matches the Rfam family "tRNA". From Rfam's summary of the family: Transfer RNA (tRNA) molecules are approximately 80 nucleotides in length. Their secondary structure includes four short double-helical elements and three loops (D, anti-codon, and T loops). The record is from RNAcentral. Lineage: Eukaryota; Metazoa; Arthropoda; Insecta; Ephemeroptera; Caenidae.